Molecule: ribosomal RNA, 253 nt
Filed under: uncultured bacterium
Lineage: Bacteria
Description: partial 16S ribosomal RNA
Rfam family: Bacterial small subunit ribosomal RNA
Source: RNAcentral
UACAGAGGGUGCGAGCGUUGUCCGGAAUCACUGGGCGUAAAGGGCGCGUAGGCGGCUCGGUCAGCGUGCGGUGAAAGCCCGGGGCUCAACCCCGGGUCGGCCGUGCGAACUGCUGGGCUGGAGCACUGUAGAGGCAGGUGGAAUUCCGGGUGUAGCGGUGGAAUGCGUAGAGAUCCGGAAGAACGCCGGUGGCGAAGGCGGCCUGCUGGGCAGUGGCUGACGCUGAGGCGCGACAGCGUGGGGAGCAAACAGG